ACUCCUACGGGAGGCAGCAGUAAGGAAUAUUGCUCAAUGGCCGAAAGGCUGAAGCAGCAACGCCGCGUGAAGGAUGAAUGGCCUUUGGCCUGUAAACUUCUGUAAAAGAGGAAAAAUAGUUAGGUAUAUCCUAAUGUGAUUGUACUCUUGAAGUAAGCCCCGGCUAACUACGUGCCAGCAGCCGCGGUAU
This 190-nucleotide ribosomal RNA is filed under the name uncultured bacterium. RNAcentral describes it as "partial 16S ribosomal RNA". It matches the Rfam family "Bacterial small subunit ribosomal RNA", at positions 335 to 523 of the family's 1533-position model. The record is from RNAcentral.